Molecule: long non-coding RNA, 297 nt
Organism: Scylla paramamosain (green mud crab)
Lineage: Eukaryota; Metazoa; Arthropoda; Malacostraca; Decapoda; Portunidae
Exons: 3
Source: RefSeq, a predicted model, not a curated record
GUGUGUAAAUCUUGUAAAUACACGGAAACUCUAGUGAUCUGGUGUUUACAUAUCUCUACUAAUUUUUACUGAAUUAAACAUCACUAAACAGAACCAGAGAGAGAGAGAAGAGAAUAACGUUGGGCAGCAUGGUUCGUCAGCUGGAUGAUCUUCUCACCCACCUGGGAACUGGUAGAUGGUCUGUUCUGCACUUCAUCGUACUGAGCUUUUGUUCCGUCUUUUUGGCCCCACAAGCCCUUGGCGGUGCUUUCCUGGCUCCGCGACUUGAGUACUCUUGUCGUUUGAACAAUUCGAAUA